GAACGGGAUCCGGACUUCGGUUCGGUGAGAGUGGCGGACGGGUGAGUAACGCGUGGGAACCUGCCCAGUGGUGGGGGAUAACUGCGGGAAACUGCAGCUAAUACCGCAUGAGCCCCGAGUGUAACAGCUUGGGGGAAAGAUUUAUCGCCAUUGGAGGGGCCCGCGUUCGAUUAGGUAGUUGGUGAGGUAACGGCUCACCAAGCCGACGAUCGAUAGCUGGUCUGAGAGGAUGAUCAGCCACACUGGGACUGAGAUACGGCCCAGACUCCUACGGGAGGCAGCAGUGGGGAGUAUUGGACAAUGGGGGCAACCCUGAUCCAGCAAUGCCGCGUGAGUGAUGAAGGCCUUCGGGUUGUAAAGCUCUUUUGCCAGGGACGAUGAUGACGGUACCUGGAGAAUAAGCCCCGGCUAACUUCGUGCCAGCAGCCGCGGUAAUACGAAGGGGGCAAGCGUUGUUCGGAAUUACUGGGCGUAAAGGGCGCGUAGGCGGCUUAUCAAGUCAGGCGUGAAAUUCCCGGGCUCAACCUGGGGGCUGCACUUGAUACUGAUGAGCUUGAAUGCGGGAGAGGAUAGUGGAAUUCCCAGUGUAGAGGUGAAAUUCGUAGAUAUUGGGAAGAACACCGGUGGCGAAGGCGGCUAUCUGGCCCGUGAUUGACGCUGAGGCGCGAAAGCGUGGGGAGCAAACAGGAUUAGAUACCCU
This 700-nucleotide ribosomal RNA is filed under the name uncultured Alphaproteobacteria bacterium. RNAcentral's name for it is "bacterial SSU rRNA". It matches the Rfam family "Bacterial small subunit ribosomal RNA", at positions 64 to 788 of the family's 1533-position model. The record is from RNAcentral. Lineage: Bacteria; Pseudomonadati; Pseudomonadota; Alphaproteobacteria.